UGGUAACACCAACUGGGACUAAAGGUCCCUCCCCAACGGCUCCAGUGUCAGGCGCUGUCGGGGAGGGACCUUUAGUCCCGGUUGGUGUUACCAA
Molecule: microRNA precursor, 94 nt
Filed under: Sorghum bicolor (sorghum)
Lineage: Eukaryota; Viridiplantae; Streptophyta; Magnoliopsida; Poales; Poaceae
Description: MIR5387 microRNA precursor family
Rfam family: MIR5387 microRNA precursor family
Source: Rfam by way of RNAcentral